GAUAAACGCUGGCGGUGUACAUAAGACAUGCAAGUCGAACGGGAGAAACUAAGAUGAAUUUAUUCAACUUAGCAGACACCGUGGCGGAUGGGUGAGUAACACGUAAGCAGCCUGCCUAAAGGAGGGGAAUAACAGAGAGAAAUUUCUGAUAAUACCGCAUAUACCAAAGUAUCGCAUGGUACAAUUGGGAAAGAUUUAUCACUUUUAGAUGGGCUUGCGUCUGAUUAGCUAGUUGGUGAGAUAACAGCUCACCAAGGCGACGAUCAGUAGCCGGAUUGAGAGGUUGAACGGCCACAUUGGGACUGAGACACGGCCCAGACUCCUACGGGAGGCAGCAGUCGGGAAUAUUGCACAAUGGAGGAAACUCUGAUGCAGUGACACCGCGUAUAGGAAGAAGGCCUUAGGGUUGUAAGCUAUUGUCGUGUGAGAAGAAAAUGACUAUCACAGGAGGAAGCCCUGGCUAAAUAUGUGCCAGCAGCCGCGGUAAUACAUAUGGGGCGAGCGUUAUCCGGAUUUAUUGGGUGUAAAGGGUUCGUAGGCGGGAAAGUAAGUCAGUAUGUGAAAUCCCUCGGCUCAACCGAGGAACUGCAAUUGAAACUAUUUUUCUUGAGUACUGGAGGGGAAAGUGGAAUUCUUAGUGUAGCGGUGAAAUGCGUAGAUAUUAGGAAGAACACCAGUGGCGAAGGCGACUUUCUGGACAGUAACUGACGCUGAGGAACGAAAGUGUGGGGAGCAAACAGGAUUAGAUACCCUGGUAGUCCACACUGUAAACGAUGGAUACUAGGGGUUGGCAUAGGAAAUGUCGGUCCCGCAGUUAACGCAUUAAGUAUCCCACCUGGGGAGUACGACCGCAAGGUUAAAACUCAAAGGAAUUGACGGGGGCCCGCACAAGCAGUGGGGUAUGUGGUUUAAUUCGACGCAACGCGAAGAACCUUACCAGGGCUUGACAUGAUUAGGAAUAUAUAAGAGAUUAUAUAGCUCUACGGAGUCUAAUUACAGGUGGUGCAUGGUUGUCGUCAGCUCGUGUCGUGAGAUGUCGGGUUAAGUCCCUAAACGAGCGCAACCCUUAUCGCUAGUUGCUAACAUUAAGUUGAGGACUCUAGUGAGACUGCCGUUUAUUAAAACGGAGGAAGGAGAGGAUGACGUCAAAUCAUCAUGCCCUUUAUGUCCUGGGCUACACACGUACUACAAUGGGUAGGACAAAGGGAAGCAACGGAGUGAUCCUGAGCAAAACCCAAAACCUAUUCACAGUUCGGAUUGAAGGCUGAAAUUCGCCUUCAUGAAGCCGGAAUUGCUAGUAAUGGCAGGUCAGCAUACUGCCGUGAAUACGUUCCCGGGCCU
This 1341-nucleotide ribosomal RNA is filed under the name uncultured bacterium. RNAcentral describes it as "bacterial SSU rRNA". It matches the Rfam family "Bacterial small subunit ribosomal RNA", at positions 28 to 1381 of the family's 1533-position model. The record is from RNAcentral.